This is a long non-coding RNA of Oreochromis niloticus (Nile tilapia), 538 nucleotides long. RefSeq lists it as uncharacterized. The record is from RefSeq and is a predicted model, not a curated record. NCBI's taxonomy places the organism in Eukaryota, Metazoa, Chordata, Actinopteri, Cichliformes, Cichlidae. The transcript is spliced from 2 exons.
ACCUGAACAAGAACCAGAACAAAGUCUAAAAUAGAAGCUGACAAACAGCUGCACCACCGAGUGACACUUUAUUUUAUAAACUUCACAACAGGUUUCAUGUUGUGACCUGUGGAGGUGAAAAGACGCAAAACCUGUUUUACAGUUUUUGAGCUACAGGCAGGAUUGAAACACACCUUAGUUAAAAGUCAAACAACAACAUUUUUCUCCUCCCCUCACGUCACUCAAAUGUGACAAACCAGGAAACAGGAAGUUCUUCGUCCUCAGUAAAGAGAGACGCACAGACGAUCAGACUGAGUUCAGACCAAACUAGCAGCUUCCUCUGAGUGAGUCCAGCUACAGGAGAGAAAAGUGGAAAACUCCAACACUGCUGCUUCAAGCUGCUGACGCUCCACACACUGAAUCUUCACUCACAGACUCAAUGGCUUCCAGAUCAGAGGAGGAUCUCUGCUGUCCGGUCUGUCAGGAGGUCUUCAGAGAUCCUGUUCUUCUGUCAUGUAGCCACAGCUUCUGUAAAGACUGUCUGAAGAGAUGGUGGAGA